AUUGAACGCUGGCGGCAUGCCUUACACAUGCCAGUCGAACGGCAGCACGGGUGCUUGCACCUGGUGGCGAGUGGCGAACGGGUGAGUAAUACAUCGGAACAUGUCCUGUAGUGGGGGAUAGCCCGGCGAAAGCCGGAUUAAUACCGCAUACGAUCUACGGAUGAAAGCGGGGGACCUUCGGGCCUCGCGCUAUAGGGUUGGCCGAUGGCUGAUUAGCUAGUUGGUGGGGUAAAGGCCUACCAAGGCGACGAUCAGUAGCUGGUCUGAGCGGACGACCAGCCACACUGGGACUGAGACACGGCCCAGACUCCUACGGGAGGCAGCAGUGGGGAAUUUUGGACAAUGGGCGAAAGCCUGAUCCAGCAAUGCCGCGUGUGUGAAGAAGGCCUUCGGGUUGUAAAGCACUUUUGUCCGGAAAGAAAUCCUUGGCCCUAAUACGGUCGGGGGAUGACGGUACCGGAAGAAUAAGCACCGGCUAACUACGUG
This 486-nucleotide ribosomal RNA is filed under the name uncultured bacterium. RNAcentral's name for it is "partial 16S ribosomal RNA". It matches the Rfam family "Bacterial small subunit ribosomal RNA", at positions 30 to 507 of the family's 1533-position model. The record is from RNAcentral.